Molecule: non-coding RNA, 94 nt
Organism: Homo sapiens (human)
Lineage: Eukaryota; Metazoa; Chordata; Mammalia; Primates; Hominidae
Gene: MIR423
Product: microRNA 423
Exons: 1
Source: RefSeq, marked provisional
AUAAAGGAAGUUAGGCUGAGGGGCAGAGAGCGAGACUUUUCUAUUUUCCAAAAGCUCGGUCUGAGGCCCCUCAGUCUUGCUUCCUAACCCGCGC